Molecule: ribosomal RNA, 346 nt
Filed under: Vibrio alginolyticus
Lineage: Bacteria; Pseudomonadati; Pseudomonadota; Gammaproteobacteria; Vibrionales; Vibrionaceae
Description: bacterial SSU rRNA
Rfam family: Bacterial small subunit ribosomal RNA
Source: RNAcentral
CUUAAAUUGAAGAGUUUGAUCAUGGCUCAGAUUGAACGCUGGCGGCAGGCCUAACACAUGCAAGUCGAGCGGAAACGAGUUAUCUGAGCCUUCGGGGGACGAUAACGGCGUCGAGCGGCGGACGGGUGAGUAAUGCCUAGGAAAUUGCCCUGAUGUGGGGGAUAACCAUUGGAAACGAUGGCUAAUACCGCAUAAUGCCUACGGGCCAAAGAGGGGGACCUUCGGGCCUCUCGCGUCAGGAUAUGCCUAGGUGGGAUUAGCUAGUUGGUGAGGUAAGGGCUCACCAAGGCGACGAUCCCUAGCUGGUCUGAGAGGAUGAUCAGCCACACUGGAACUGAGACACGGU